CGUCUAUAUACGUAUAGCAUAUCAAUAAGCGGAGGAAAAGAAACUAACAAGGAUUCCCUUAGUAACGGCGAGUGAAGCGGGAAGAGCUCAAAUUUGAAAUCUUCAAGGGUUCUACCUUUACGAAUUGUAGUUUAAAGAAGUGUUAUCUGUUGGAGUUUCAGUGAAAGUUCUUUGGAAUAGGACAUCAUAGAGGGUGAGAAUCCCGUAUUUGACCAUGUACUUUCCAGCUGUGUGAUACACUUUCAAAGAGUCGGAUUGUUUGGGAAUGCAGUCCAAAAUGGGUGGUAAAUUUCAUCUAAAGCUAAAUAUUGGCGAGAGACCGAUAGCGAACAAGUACCGUGAGGGAAAGAUGAAAAGAACUUUGAAAAGAGAGUUAAACAGUACGUGAAAUUGUCAAAAGGGAAGCGUUUGACACCAGUGUUGUUUUCUCGAAAAUCAAUUACAAAUGACUGGAUUUUGUGUUGUAUUGACCUUAUCAGCUUUCUGCACUCUUUUCUAGUCUUUCUUAACUGCACUUUUCGUUUAACAAGUCAACAUCAAUUUCUUUUGUUGUAAAAGAGUAUUCGGAAGGUGGCUUUCUUUUCGGAGAAAGUGUUUAUAGCCCUAUACUUCUAGCAAUCGGAGAGAUUGAGGUCUGCAGCGUAGAUCCUUCGGGGUUAGAUACAUUUGUGCUAAGUUAUAGCCUUUCAUAGACAACUUGUCGACUAUGAUUAGUCAUGUCGGCUUACUCGCUUAUGCUAUUUUACCUACGCUUAGGAUGUUGACUGAUAUGUAGUCGUA
Molecule: ribosomal RNA, 780 nt
Filed under: uncultured Neocallimastigales
Lineage: Eukaryota; Fungi; Neocallimastigomycota; Neocallimastigomycetes; Neocallimastigales
Description: partial large subunit ribosomal RNA
Rfam family: Eukaryotic large subunit ribosomal RNA
Source: RNAcentral